This 229-nucleotide ribosomal RNA is filed under the name uncultured bacterium. RNAcentral's name for it is "partial 16S ribosomal RNA". It matches the Rfam family "Bacterial small subunit ribosomal RNA", at positions 568 to 796 of the family's 1533-position model. The record is from RNAcentral.
UGCGUAGGCGGAUUAAUAAGUCAGUGGUGAAAUCUUUCGGCUCAACCGAGAACCUGUCAUUGAUACUGUUAAUCUUGAGUUCGGUUGAGGUAGGCGGAAUGUGUAAUGUAGCGGUGAAAUGCUUAGAUAUUACACAGAACACCAAUUGCGUAGGCAGCUUACUAGACCGACACUGACGCUGAGGCACGAAAGCGUGGGGAGCGAACAGGAUUAGAUACCCUGGUAGUCC